Molecule: ribosomal RNA, 253 nt
Filed under: uncultured bacterium
Lineage: Bacteria
Description: partial 16S ribosomal RNA
Rfam family: Bacterial small subunit ribosomal RNA
Source: RNAcentral
UACAGAGGGUGCAAGCGUUAAUCGGAAUUACUGGGCGUAAAGAGCGCGUAGGUGGUUCGUUAAGUUGGAUGUGAAAUCCCCGGGCUCAACCUGGGAACUGCAUCCAAAACUGGCGAGCUAGAGUAUGGUAGAGGGUGGUGGAAUUUCCUGUGUAGCGGUGAAAUGCGUAGAUAUAGGAAGGAACACCAGUGGCUAAGGCGACCCCCUGGACUGAUACUGACACUGAGGUGCGAAAGCGUGGGGAGCAAACAGG